This 116-nucleotide ribozyme is filed under the name Aedes aegypti (yellow fever mosquito). Its description in RNAcentral is "drz-agam-1 ribozyme". It matches the Rfam family "drz-agam-1 ribozyme". Lineage: Eukaryota; Metazoa; Arthropoda; Insecta; Diptera; Culicidae. The record is from Rfam by way of RNAcentral.
UGUCCAGCAACUUCUAUCCCUACCUUCUCGUGGUACUAGCCGGGGUACGAGUAACCUUAGGGAAGAUCGGGUACCCAACCCCGGUGGGAAGUCUGAUCGUAUGCUGACAGAGAAGA